GUUGUUGCGGUUAGAAGCUCGUAGUUGGAUUUCUGUUGAGGUCGGGCGGUGUACACCUCGUGUAUUAUUUGCUUCGGUCUCGGCAUCCUCUUGGGGAACGUUCAGGACUUUAUUGGACUGGGCGAGAUUCAAGGCUUUUACUUUGAGGAAAUUAGAGUGUUCACGGCAGGCAAGUGCUUUGAAUACAUUAGCAUGGAAUAAUAAUAUAGGACCUUCGUUCUAUUUUGUUGGUUUCUAGAACUUAGGUAAUGAUUAAUAGGGACAAUUGGGGGCAUUCGUAUUAACGCGUCAGAGGUGGAAUUCUUGGAUUGCGUUACGACGAACUACUGCGAAAACAUUUGCCAAAGAUGUUUUCAUUGAUCAAGAACGAAAGUAUGGGGAUCGAGGACGCUUASAUACCGUCSUAGUCUAUACCAUAAACUAUGCCAACUAGAGAUCGGAGGGGUAUCCUAUGUGGCUCCUUCGGCAUCUUAUGAGAAAUCAAAGUUUUUGGGUUCCKGGGGGAGUAUGGGUCGCAAGGCUGAAACUUAAAGGAAUUGACGGAAGGGCACCACCCGGAGUGGAGCCUGCGGCUUAAUUUGACUCAACCCGGGAAAACUCAC
RNAcentral lists this ribosomal RNA (602 nucleotides) under uncultured Syndiniales. RNAcentral's name for it is "SSU rRNA". It matches the Rfam family "Eukaryotic small subunit ribosomal RNA", at positions 611 to 1229 of the family's 1831-position model. Lineage: Eukaryota; Dinophyceae; Syndiniales. The record is from RNAcentral.